GACGAACGCUGGCGGCGUGCUUAACACAUGCAAGUCGAACGAAAAGAGGGAAAGAGCUUGCUCUUUCCGGAAUUGAGUGGCAAACGGGUGAGUAACACGUAAACAACCUGCCUUCAGGAUGGGGACAACAGACGGAAACGACUGCUAAUACCGAAUAAGUUCCAAGAGCCGCAUGGCUCAUGGAAGAAAAGGUGGCCUCUACCUGUAAGCUAUCGCCUGAAGAGGGGUUUGCGUCUGAUUAGCUGGUUGGAGGGGUAACGGCCCACCAAGGCGACGAUCAGUAGCCGGUCUGAGAGGAUGAACGGCCACACUGGAACUGAGACACGGUCCAGACUCCUACGGGAGGCAGCAGUGGGGAAUCUUCCGCAAUGGGCGAAAGCCUGACGGAGCAACGCCGCGUGAGUGAUGACGGCCUUCGGGUUGUAAAACUCUGUGAUCCGGGACGAAAAGGCAGAGUGCGAAGAACAAACUGCAUUGACGGUACCGGAAAAGCAAGCCACGGCUAACUACGUGCCAGCAGCCGCGGUAAUACGUAGGUGGCAAGCGUUGUCCGGAAUUAUUGGGCGUAAAGCGCGCGCAGGCGGCUUCCCAAGUCCCUCUUAAAAGUGCGGGGCUUAACCCCGUGAUGGGAAGGAAACUGGGAAGCUGGAGUAUCGGAGAGGAAAGUGGAAUUCCUAGUGUAGCGGUGAAAUGCGUAGAGAUUAGGAAGAACACCGGUGGCGAAGGCGACUUUCUGGACGAAAACUGACGCUGAGGCGCGAAAGCGUGGGGAGCAAACAGGAUUAGAUACCCUGGUAGUCCACGCCGUAAAC
RNAcentral lists this ribosomal RNA (812 nucleotides) under uncultured bacterium. RNAcentral describes it as "bacterial SSU rRNA". It matches the Rfam family "Bacterial small subunit ribosomal RNA", at positions 28 to 807 of the family's 1533-position model. The record is from RNAcentral.